This 423-nucleotide ribosomal RNA is filed under the name uncultured bacterium. RNAcentral describes it as "bacterial SSU rRNA". It matches the Rfam family "Bacterial small subunit ribosomal RNA", at positions 207 to 622 of the family's 1533-position model. The record is from RNAcentral.
AAGACCUUGCGCUUUGGGAGCGGCCGAUGUCUGAUUAGCUAGUUGGUGGGGUAAAGGCCUACCAAGGCUACGAUCAGUAGUUGGUCUGAGAGGACGACCAGCCACACUGGGACUGAGACACGGCCCAGACUCCUACGGGAGGCAGCAGUGGGGAAUUUUGGACAAUGGGCGCAAGCCUGAUCCAGCAAUGCCGCGUGAGUGAAGAAGGCCUUCGGGUUGUAAAGCUCUUUCAGUCGAGAAGAAAAAGCUGCAGUGAAUAACUGUAGUUCAUGACGGUAUCGACAGAAGAAGCACCGGCUAACUACGUGCCAGCAGCCGCGGUAAUACGUAGGGUGCGAGCGUUAAUCGGAAUUACUGGGCGUAAAGGGUGCGCAGGCGGCUUUGUAAGUCAGAUGUGAAAUCCCCGGGCUUAACCUGGGAAUU